GCUUUCUGCAUGCUGUACAACUGGAGGUCAGUCACAUUCACGUGUCUGGGUGAAAGCUGGAGACUGUAAUUACAGCUUACCUGCAUUGGAAAUAAGAGUCUGCCCAGACUAGAAUGGAUUUGUAUAUUUUAAAUUGAGAGAGGGUCUAACUUAAAAUAUUUUGGGGCAAAAUGUAUUUCAGGGAAUAAUGAAGAGUCCACCUACCACUGCAGCAGACAUCAAAACAAGAGCAGAGCACAGCUGACAAUGCAGGAUCCAGAGAGUGGAAACUGUAAGCAACCCAGGAGUAUCAGUUUGCUCAACCAUGCUUUUUAUUUUCCAGUCAUGCCUGAGUUUGGAAGGAAUAUGACCACAUCAAGGAAAGUACUCCAAACUGGAUUUGACUAAAACUCAAAAGAUGGACUAAUCUGAAUACCACAGAACUGAACAGUGGAUAAUGUUGCGGGUACAAAUGGCAGUCUCACCACUGAGAAGAAAACAAGCUGUAUAUCAUUAGGGGUUUAUCUGUUGUAUCCCCUGCCAUGAUUUUUGUGGGGCUGGUCCUACACAGAUUUUAAUUCUUGCUGUGGUUUUUGUUACAUAGUCAGUUCAUGUUAUGAUGAAGACAGAAAGAAGGGAAAGAUGCCUGUGAUAUCUCAAGGACAUUUUCAUCAAAGAUGCCCAGAGUCAGUCUAGUUCAAAGAGCUAAGAAGGACAGCCAGUGAUUCUGCUUACUGAACUGAUGAAUCCCAACAGUUUCUUAUCAGCCAUCUGACCUGCUUUCUUCUCUGGCAACACACUAAUUCAUAUAAAAUCUGUAUAUGGUGCAAAGUGUCGUGUUUCAUUAUCUGGGUAAGUCCCGGGAUGGGCAGAGUGCAGCAGCAUACAGUGCUGGGGAGGGGGGAUGUGGGGGCAGCCUUCACUGCUAAUGCAGAGCUGAGAACAAGCAGCUUUGACUUGGCUGAGUCUAUCUGCCAAACUAGUGACUUCUGCUGGGAAACAGAACUUUCCCCCUCUUUCUUUAGAUCCCAGCUGAGCUUCAAUGCUCUGUGUUUCUCUCUAACAGGAAAGCUGUCUUCUCUCCUCCUCUGCCAUCUGUGCUCCAUCCUUAUUCUCACAUGUGACUUACUGUAGCUGCAGUCUCAUUAACUUUCAAUACUUGCAGCCUAACACGACUUAACUGGGGGGCUUGAAAGGAGAGGUAGGGC
RNAcentral lists this long non-coding RNA (1187 nucleotides) under Gallus gallus (chicken). RNAcentral's name for it is "lncRNA (ENSGALG00010008953.1)". The record is from RNAcentral. Lineage: Eukaryota; Metazoa; Chordata; Aves; Galliformes; Phasianidae.